This 695-nucleotide ribosomal RNA is filed under the name uncultured bacterium. Its description in RNAcentral is "bacterial SSU rRNA". It matches the Rfam family "Bacterial small subunit ribosomal RNA", at positions 44 to 764 of the family's 1533-position model. The record is from RNAcentral.
ACGCCUAACACAUGCAAGUCGAGCGGGAGUUUUUUAGAAGCUUGCUUCUGAAAAACAAGAGCGGCAAACGGGUGAGUAACACGUUGGUACUUGCCCCUUGGUCAGGGAUAGCCCAUCGAAAGAUGGAUUAAUACCGGAUAGUCUCUUCGGAGUAAAGAUUUAUCGCCAAGGGAGAGGCCUGCAUUCUAUCAGCUAGUUGGUGAGGUAAUGGCUUACCAAGGCUAUGACGGAUAGCUGGUCUGAGAGGAUGAUCAGUCACAAUGGAACUGAGACACGGUCCAUACUCCUACGGGAGGCAGCAGUGAGGAAUAUUCCACAAUGGGCGAAAGCCUGAUGGAGCGAUACCGCGUGAAGGACGAAGGUCUAACGAUUGUAAACUUCUUCUCUGAGGGAGCAUAAUGAUAGUACCUCAGGAAUAAGGGACGGCUAAUUACGUGCCAGCAGCCGCGGUAAUACGUAAGUCCCAAGCGUUGCCCGGAAUUACUGGGUGUAAAGGGUUAGUAGGCGGUUUAGUAAGUUGGAUAUGAAAGACCGGAGCUCAACUCCGUGUUUGUAUUCAAAACUGCUAAACUAGAAUCAGGGAGAGGUAAGCGGAAUUCUAAGUGUAGGGGGUGCAAUCCGUAGAUACUUAGAAGACACCAAAAGCGAAAGGCAGCUUACUGGAACUGUAUUGACGCUGAGUAACGAAAGCGUGG